This 500-nucleotide ribosomal RNA is filed under the name uncultured Glomeromycotina. Its description in RNAcentral is "partial small subunit ribosomal RNA". It matches the Rfam family "Eukaryotic small subunit ribosomal RNA", at positions 591 to 1092 of the family's 1831-position model. The record is from RNAcentral. Lineage: Eukaryota; Fungi; Glomeromycota.
CCAAUAGCGUAUAUUAAAGUUGUUGCAGUUAAAAAGCUCGUAGUUGAAUUUCGGGGUUAGUAGGUUGGUCAUGCCUCUGGUAUGUACUGGUCUCACUGAUUCCUCCUUCCUGAUGAACCUUAAUGCCAUUAAUUUGGUGUUUUGGGGAAUUUGGACUGUUACUUUGAAAAAAUUAGAGUGUUUAAAGCAAGCUAACGCUUGAAUACAUUAGCAUGGAAUAAUGAAAUAGGACGUUCGAUCCUAUUUUGUUGGUUUCUAGGAUUGACGUAAUGAUUAAUAGGGAUAGUUGGGGGCAUUAGUAUUCAAUUGUCAGAGGUGAAAUUCUUGGAUGUAUUGAAGACUAACUACUGCGAAAGCAUUUGCCAAGGAUGUUUUCAUUAAUCAAGAACGAAAGUUAGGGGAUCGAAGACGAUCAGAUACCGUCGUAGUCUUAACCAUAAACUAUGCCGACUAGGGAUCGGAUGAUGUUAAUUUUUUAAUGACUCAUUCGGCGCCUUACG